CCCCACCACUUUACUAAACGUAUCUGCGACAUGGGGUAUCAUUCUUCUAUCGAAAAUCGUCGUGUUUGGACGUGUAACCUUGCUCGAUGCGCUUCGCUGUGCCUAUUACCGUGUGUUACGUACUUUCAUUGCUCUUUCAUUGUUGGCUGACGCGUGGAUAACAUCAAAAGAACAACAAUACCGUUUGAUGUCACGGGCGAUCGACAACCGAUACGACGUUCUGCUAUUUCGUUCUCCUUUUUAUUCGUAAAGAUAUUCCUUUUAGGGAGGUAGAGCACGAUAAAAGAGAAAAUUGCAAGUGUCCCAAUACUUUUACCCGACGAUAUACCCGGUCUGUGGUUAUGUCAUACAACAAUGGUUUCUACUCCGCAAGUGUAACGUCCGGUUUCGUUUUCACGCUUCUUACGUUACGUCGAAACGCGAUACCCAGCGACGUCGCCAGGUUCGGUCCGCGACAUUCACGCUCAGCGAAGCCAUAUUCGGUUCUCCAUCGAAGAAAAUUGCAAAACGAUUCGCAAGUACUUGCGGCCCGCUGCUAAACACGGCACCAACGACCAUAGUGCUUUUCGUCGUUCGCCAAUAUCCCUAGAUACUUCUAUAUACGAGAUGGUUAAAUGGUAGCAGCAGAGCGGAUCUUUCGUCGUUGCGGUGCACCGCAAUUUUCGACCUCUAAUUUUAUGGUUUUUCGUGGCGGACCCAACGGAGAGGAGGUCUGCCCUCUCAACCAGAAAUCCCGCACGGUGAAAUACCUUUCGCAUACGUUUACGUACGUGCAAUUAUCCUGUCGGUUACGCCGGUACACACCGAUUAUUUUCUUGGCGCGUCGCGUGACGAGCAUCGUCCUUUUUUCUUACCCUUUCAACCAUUCAACGAUGGACGAGAAUCUUCUCGAUGGAGCUACCGUACCAAAGUAUUGUGUUUCAAUGCUUAUUUUCUUCUUUUCUUUCUUUUUUGGUUGGAUGGUUGUUUUUCUGACAAGUUAACACUCGCGCGUGUUUAGCUUCGCAGACACUGUGAAAUUGAACACACGCAAGCGCGAAUUUGUAGAAAACAUCGACGGUAUUCGUUUGAUCGCGAUUUGUCCGUGUUUGUCUAAUGAAAAUUUUAGGUCGAUCGAUCCCUCGGGGAAAGGGAAAUUGAAAGAUCAGCGUCAUUGCCGGCCCCAUGAACAAUUUUCAUCGAUUCGUCCACGGCUUGUCCGACGAAAAUGUUCGUUGGACGAUUUUUCAAAGAUAGCUAUCACCAAAUUUAAUAAAAUAGCCAGAAACUUUUUCAUUGAUUUCUGAUAUAGCAUAUGGCUGUCCACGCUUGCCCGUCCAAUCUUGUUCGGCUUCAAAAUCAAUACAAAUGUUCACCAGGCGCAGAAUUUUUUGGAAUUUUCAUUCGCUGAUGACUUUUUCUUUUGAAAACUCGACGAACGAAAAUUGCUGUCGGACAAAUGUGCAUAAAUCGUGGACAAUCAUAUCUCGUUUACGAAUCAAUGAAAAGUGUUCAUGCUGGUGCUGAUGAUAAAUAUUGUCAUUUGACGAUAACGUUUUUUUUUUUUUAUAGGCGGAGAAAUGAAAAUUUUGUUUGGACAAAUGUGGACGAUUCGCGGACAAACGAGUACUGAUUGUAUUUCUUUUUUGCGUGUAAAUUCGCACUUGGAAACGCCGGUUUCACGAACCGACUGGCACAGCUACUAUUAGGUCUUUGCUUUCAUUCGAUACUGCAAUAGUUGCUACUUAUUCGAUCAUAUAUUUCGUAUUCUUACUCUCUGAAUUUUGGCAGUGAUUCAAAUGAUAAUUGUCAAUUGAGUUAGAUGAAACAAGAUUUCUAAUGAAAAUUAUCCUCGGUGACGUUUUAAUUACGUUACGAUAUUAAAACACGCAGAAGGAACUUUGUAGCGUUGAUAAGUUAUUUUGUUCACCAUAUAUACAAUUUCGUAAUUUUAUGUAUCAUAAAUUUUCAUACAAUCAA
Bombus pyrosoma is the source of this 1959-nucleotide long non-coding RNA. RefSeq lists it as uncharacterized. The record is from RefSeq and is a predicted model, not a curated record. Lineage: Eukaryota; Metazoa; Arthropoda; Insecta; Hymenoptera; Apidae. The transcript is spliced from 5 exons.